Gallus gallus (chicken) is the source of this 1201-nucleotide long non-coding RNA. The record is from Ensembl. Lineage: Eukaryota; Metazoa; Chordata; Aves; Galliformes; Phasianidae.
ACAGUCAGCCCGUCAAGGGAAGGGGUUGUCCUGCUCUGCUAUGCUCCAUGAAGCCUCACUUCCAGCAAUGGGUGCAGGUUUGGGUAUCAUAGUGUAAGAAAGGCGUAAAACCACUGAAGAGUGUCAAGGGAAAGCUAUGAAAAAUGACGAAUGGUCUGGAGGGGAAGAUGUGUGAGGAACAGCUCCACUUCCUCGGUGUGCUCGGCGCAGAGCAGAGGAGCUGAGGGGAGCCAUCAUGGCGGCUGCAGCUUCUCACAGACAGCUUCACUGAAUGCUCCUCAGGUCCUGCAGUGCUGAGAGGGACCAAGGAACCACCAUCUCCACUUCUGCAAGCCCUCAUGCACACAUAGGCCCAAGGGAGCCAGUGCCAGGCCAUGGCUUUCCAUCCAUGACUAUUCCUCUAUCAUCUGAAAAAUGUUUAUUGUACUCUUAGGGAGAAGAAAGAGGAAUGCCGUGAGGCUACUCAAGGCCAGGAAAGAAAAGCUGGCACUGAUAGGAGAGAAAAUACAUGAGAGCAAGCUGACGGCUGCAUUUGAACUCCUGUGGGAAGAACCAGAUACAUCCAGAGGGCUAGCUAAGCAGUACUGAAGUGUAGGAAAAGAGUGCAGGAAGGUGUCCAGAAGCCUCACAGGCUUGCAUGAGGUUUUACUGAAUGCACUCUCUUGCUGUACAAGCCUGCAGAUAUGUGCCAUAGCCAGAGUGAUCUGAUGGAAAUUCAAGGGAGACCUUAUCACUAUCUACUACUACCUAAAAGGAGGCUGUAGUGAGGUGGGGGGUCAUCCUCUUUUCCCAGUUGACUAGCAAUAGGAUAAGAAGUAACGUCCUUAAGUUACACCUGAGAAGGUUUGGAUUGGAUAAUAGAUAAAACUUCCUCUCAGAAAGAGUGGUGAGGUAGUAGAACAGGCUGCCCAGGGAAGUGCUAGAGUCACCAGCCCUAAAGAUUUUCAAGAAAAGCUUAGAUGUGGCACAGGGAACACAGGAAGUACACUUGAAGCUGCACAGCCCAGAAGAAGAGGACUUGCCCUGUCUAUGUCUCCAUACCAUCUCCCAGGAGGCCACCCUACCAGCAACAGUAAGAGAAAGCCACAGAAGUUGAUGGCACCAGGGCUGGGCCAGCAUCUGAGUCAUGUGCAAACCCUCAGUGGCACCAGAAGACUCGCAGUAUUUGGAAUCUGUUUGACAAAUAUAAAGUAUUUAAAAU